AACUGUUCGCUAAUCUAUUACCCAUCUCCUCUCGCGUGAGGAAUCGCAGGAGUGGGGUGGAGCGCAGCGCGGGGGCCGAAGGGAUGCUCGAUCUAGGGUUUCGCCGCCAGCUCCCCCGGCCGACCGCCGCCCGUCUGGCCCCGCUUGCCGCCGCCUGCUGGUCCCCGCUCGACACCGCCCCACCCGAUGGCGCUGCCGCUCGUCCCCGCCCAGCACCGCCCCACUCGACGCCACCACCGCCCGACGCCGACCCCUGCUCGGCCCCAGCCAACGCCGCCGCCGCCCGACGCCGACCCCUGCUCGUCCCGGCCAACGACGAUCCCUGCUCGUCCCCAGCCGACAUGCCCGACACCGACCCUGCCCGUCCCCGCCCGACGCCAGCAGAGAAACGGUAGUAGAGCAUGUGAGGCUUCUAUAAGCAGACAACUCCAAUGAUAUUUCCAAUUGAAUGUUCAGCAAUAUAUCGAGAUGACAGUCCAUAGAAGUAAUAAUCCAUUGUGUUGAUUCUAUGUGAAAAUAUAAAUAAUACCAUCUUGAUUCAUGUGCUGUGAGUAGAAUGUUAUAGCAAAUUCAUUUUUGGCCUAUAAAUUAUUGAUUGAACAAAAAAUUAUUCGGUUCAAGAAUGGGUGACAAGGCAGAAUGGGGUGAUGGUUUUGUAAGGCAUUGUUUGAUGUCUGCAAAUAAGAGAUAGAAGCUGGGAAUAGACCCAUGGGAAUUUUCACCACUACAGGUUGGAAAAAUAUUGUUUCCAAGUUUGCAAAAAAAAUCGGGUGACAAGCGAACUAAAAAGCAAUUGAAGAACAAAUUAGAUGUGCUGAAAAAGGAAUAUUCAAUGUUUAUGGAGUUCAAGAAUUGUGCCACUAGUCUUGGAUGGGAUGAGGCGAAACAAACUAUUGUCUGUUCGGCGGAAUGGUGGGACGAACACCUUGCUAGAUGCAACAAUCGUGAGAAAGGAAUCAAAUGCAAUCAUGUGAAGUUUCGAAAACAAGGACCAAAAUUCCUAGAUGAUCUGCGUAUCAUUUUUGGCAAGUCACAUGUUAAUGGGGCUUCAGCAUCAUGUCCUAGAGAUGUAUCCUCCGAUGAGGCAAGUGAUGAGGAUAUGGCUGAGGUACCCAAACCUGCAGAGAAGGCUGAGAAGACAGUGAACCCGGGAAAAAUAAACGCAAGGGGUCAUCCACUGUUGUUAGAGACAAGGAUGAGAAGAUCCCAUUUGCUCGUAUGUACAAGAACACUUGUUUGAAGAUAGAAACGGCAACAGAGAAGAUCUCUACAAGUAUUGAAGCAUCAUUAGCUUCUCCAUGCAAUGUAGUCCCUAUCAUUAAAGAGGCUAUGAAUAUGGUGAAAGAUUGUGGGGUAGAAGAAAAAACUGCUCUAAUGCACACAUCCACAACUUUGAUUAUGAAGCCUGAAUUUAGAGAGGUCUUUAGCUAUCUAGAAACAAAUAAAGGAAGACUCGAUUUGAUCGAGAGGGAGCAUGAAAAGGAGAUGACGAAGCAUUAGUGAUUCCUUUGCGUUGAAAUUUUAUUUCUAUCGAUUGUUGCCUUGUUUAUGUCCUAUGUGAGAACCAUUUGCUUCCCUAUGUGAUGUUAUUUAUUUC
Molecule: non-coding RNA, 1597 nt
Organism: Oryza sativa Japonica Group (Japanese rice)
Lineage: Eukaryota; Viridiplantae; Streptophyta; Magnoliopsida; Poales; Poaceae
Source: RefSeq, a predicted model, not a curated record